CGCAAGCCUGACGGAGCAACGCCGCGUGAGGGAGGAAGGCCUGUGGGUUGUAAACCUCUUUUCUCAAGGAAGAAGUUCUGACGGUACUUGAGGAAUCAGCAUCGGCUAACUCCGUGCCAGCAGCCGCGGUAAGACGGAGGAUGCAAGCGUUAUCCGGAAUUAUUGGGCGUAAAGCGUCCGUAGGUGGCUUAGAAAGUCAGUUGUUAAAGCCCACAGCUCAACUGUGGAUCGGCAAUUGAAACUACUAGGCUUGAGUGUGGUAGGGGUAGAGGGAAUUCCUAGUGUAGCGGUGAAAUGCGUAGAUAUUAGGAAGAACACCAGUGGCGAAGGCGCUCUACUGGGCCAUAACUGACACUGAUGGACGAAAGCUAGGGGAGCG
This 379-nucleotide ribosomal RNA is filed under the name uncultured cyanobacterium. RNAcentral describes it as "bacterial SSU rRNA". It matches the Rfam family "Bacterial small subunit ribosomal RNA", at positions 376 to 770 of the family's 1533-position model. Lineage: Bacteria; Bacillati; Cyanobacteriota. The record is from RNAcentral.